AAAAGGUGAAGCUGGAGAGAAGCUUACUGUUUUUCUUGCAAUAAGUUGAAGUCACUGAUAAUGUAAUUGGAAAGAAAUAAUUCUGUUCAAGAGUCUAUGUGAUGUCAGCUCAAUUUUAACUUGCCAGAGUCUGUCAAUGCAUUCUAGGGCUUUGUUUUGCAUCUUGAGGAAAGCUCCAGGACUGUCUUAUGUAGCUGUAAGGUAUUUUAG
RNAcentral lists this unclassified non-coding RNA (210 nucleotides) under Hevea brasiliensis (rubber tree). The record is from RNAcentral. Lineage: Eukaryota; Viridiplantae; Streptophyta; Magnoliopsida; Malpighiales; Euphorbiaceae.